UCCCUGCUGGUCCAGAUGAUAGAGAAUCUGCCUGCAAUGCAGGAAACCCAGGUUUGAUCCCUGGGUCGGGAA
This 72-nucleotide transfer RNA is filed under the name Ovis aries (sheep). It matches the Rfam family "tRNA". From Rfam's summary of the family: Transfer RNA (tRNA) molecules are approximately 80 nucleotides in length. The record is from Rfam by way of RNAcentral. Lineage: Eukaryota; Metazoa; Chordata; Mammalia; Artiodactyla; Bovidae.